Long non-coding RNA from Pyrus x bretschneideri (Chinese white pear), 3370 nucleotides. RefSeq lists it as uncharacterized. The record is from RefSeq and is a predicted model, not a curated record. Lineage: Eukaryota; Viridiplantae; Streptophyta; Magnoliopsida; Rosales; Rosaceae. The transcript is spliced from 2 exons.
UUGACUUUAAAAAGAUAUGGGACGACAAACUGAUUAAAGUAGCUGCAAGGUAGUAACCAACCAAUUCGUAAAAUUGUUGAACGCAUCAUCUACAAGUUAUAAUUGGCAAAUGCUAACCAAAUGGAGGCUCAAACUGAUUAUUUAGUGAUUAAAUUUUGUACUUCUAUAUCAAUAAGAUUGCGGUAGAUGGCAAUUAGACCUAAAAAUCUAUUGUGAAUAAAUCAAGUAUAUAUUCUUCACCAAAAAGAAAUGCAUAAAAAUUCAAUACACAAUUGUUAAAAAAAAAAUCCAAUUGUUGCCUGGCACACCCAUUCCCUUCCUCUUCUUUCCGUGUUAAGGUCCACAUGCUUUUCUUUAAGACCACAUAUACAUUUGACCACCAUUUGAAACCAAAAAGAAAUUUCAUACAAAGCUAUAAAAAAGAGAAAAAAACCAUGUAAAGCCGACAUCUUCCUAUUAAACAAACAAUUACAAAAGGUAUAAAAUAUACUUACAAUACUUUGGACCAUUCCCCCCCACUGCGCACCUCCAAAGGCAUCUUCAACUCUCAAAACUUUUUGUAAUCUCAAUGAUUUUGUCGAAUCCACCGUCAACAAACUAUGAAGUCAAUUUCCCCCAAGUUUCAGUGAACACCCACCUUGCAAAUCGUGUGUAAACCCUAGAUUUCUAAACAGCGAUUGUGCAAAGGGUAUAUUGUGUGAAAGUCUUGCUAAAUGACUUUUUCUAACCUUAAAGAAUUGUAACUUGUUGUGCAAAUGGUUUCACUUAACAGAAAUAUGGAUGAAAUAUAUGAAAAACUAAAGGUAGGGGGCAAAUCGGCUAAAAAAAUUAGUUUGAGUUCUUAAUUUUCCAAUAGAAAAGUUUGAGAGAAAAAUCAAAAGCUAAGUAAAAGUUUAGAAAGUAAAUCGAUAGUUUACUUAAAAAAAAAGAAAAAAAAAAAGAAAAAAGAAAGAGAUCGCAUGUGCGCGCGCGUUACACAACUCAAUCGAGUAAUUCCACAACAGCCUACAGCUCGCCACGUCACGCGUCUCGCUUUAAAAUCACAAAAGGAAAGAGAUGGGAAAUUUGGGAGGGAAACCGAAAAGGAAAAUGGCGGUAAGGCGGCAAAGGAGCGUUUCUUUCUCCACUCCCCUUUGUAUCUGCGACUGAAGAGAGAGAGAGAGAGAGAGAGCGCUCUUCAGUCUUCGAAUCCACGAUCCAUCUCUUCGCGUCUCGCAAGCAUAUAAAAAUCCGCAGCGUUAGCGAGAGCGCUGUUCAGUCUCCGAAUCUACGAUCUACAUCUCGCGGCUUGCGAGCAGAUUCAAAUCCGAUGGUACGCUUCGAUUCGACUUAUCGUAGUUGAUUUUCUUUCUCUGUAAUUGCAUUCGGUUUCAUUUUUUUGCAUCUGCAUCUUUUUCGAUUUGAAAUUUGCUUGCUCAUGUUCGAUUGUAUCGAUUUCCAAUAUGUCACCGUUAAUUGAUCCGUAGAAGAAUCAGAACUUGAGUCCGGUAGUAAUACUUAGCAUGUUUGUCUGUAUAAUCUCGAGGCAAAAAAAAAAAGAAAAGAAAAAAAAAAAGAAAAUCAUAUAUCUGAAACUUCUCCAUUUUAAAAUUUGAGGAAUUUUCAAUUUAGGAGAAAUUUUUAAGCAUCAGAAGUUUAGGAAAUGUUUCAUAGAUCUGGAACUUCUCGAAUUUAACAUUUGAUGCAUUUUUUAAGCGGAUAUAAGUUUUAAAGUAUCAGGAAGUUAGACAAUUGUUUAAUGAUUGGUGGUGAAAUAGAGAACAACAAGGUUGGGAGGGAUUUGAAUGAGGUUUUUGUUGUCGCGAAAAUUGAGGAAUGAAUUUGACAGAAGAAGAAAACUGUUUGGAUGAAGAAGGGGGAAUGAGAGGACAAAAUUAAGAUUAAAAUUUGAAGAGCCAGUAGUGUUCAGAGAAGAAAUCAUCUGGAGACAAAAGGCUAAAGAAUGAGGGUUUGGGAGGAAUGUGAGUAUUAGUAAACUCUUCCCCAAAUUGUUUAGGUUUUGGCUUCUGUAGAAAUCUAAAUGAUGUUCGUAGAGCUAUUUACUCGGUCGCACAUUUCUGGAACACUUCUAACAGAGGGAUAGAUAGAGAAGAACAAGGUGGGAGGGAUUUGAAUGAGGUUUUUGACGCCACAAAAAUGGAGUAGAAGGAGAAUUGAGGAACGAAUUUGAUAGAAGAAGAAAACUAUUUGAAUCAAGAAGGGAGAGUGAGAGGACAAAAUUAGGAUUAAAAUUUGAAGAGCUAGUAGUGUUAAGAGAAGAAAUCGUUUGGAGACAAAAGGCUAAAGAAUGAGGUUUUGGGAUGAAUGUGAGUAAACUCUUCCCCAAAUUGCUUAGGCUUUGGCUUCUGGAGGAAUCUAAUUGACUUGUGAGUGCCGGAGCUUUAUGUGAGGAUGCCAAGUAUUGUCCUAAAUCGGAAAGUUAAGAAAUUGUGCAAGGGCUUAUAAGGAGUUUAAUCUCCCGAUGUUAAUUGGUUUUAUGAUUGGAACCUCAACUUCCUUCACUUUCAUCAUUAGGAAAUGUAAUUUUGAUUACACCUGGUUUCUAUAGAAGGUGCUCUAGUCCUUCAGGCUUUUCUUUCUUGUAGCAAAUAUUUAGGAGGGUUUUUAGUUGACUACCGAUCUAUAUCUCUUUUUUCGAUCCAUUUUUAUUUGGUUUGGAAGGCUAAAGCUCCUCCCAGGGUUCGGUUUCGCUUUCUUUCAUAAAGUAUUGCUCUGGUUGGGUUGAUAUUUGUGAUUCCCUCGAGAGAACAGGGCCCAAUGUUUGUCUUUCUUGCCAUUGGUGCAUGAUAUGUAGGAGUGAAACUGAAAAUGCAGAUCACUUUUAUUCUUUAUUGUCCUAUUGAGGAGUGUAGUAUUGGUCAUGUUUUGGGUACUGUGAUUAGAAAGAAGUAGAAGGAUUUCUGCUGGAUAUGGGGGAGGGGUUGGACGUUCUGGAAGGUAAAAUCAGAUUUAUGUCUCCUGUCCCUACCUAAUUUCCAUCUUUUGCUCAUUAUUUUGAUUUUUUAGGGGGGGUGGGGGGGGGGUUGUGGGGGCGCGCGGGGUGAUCUUUGGAUACUAAGCUCACAACCUUGAACUAAAUUUGCUCAAGAAACUAGCUAGUGUAUAAAGCCGCAUGGUAUCCUGGCCGUUUUUACACAAAUGGCUAAAUGCCCUCUCAGUUGAGCAAACAACUAAACUAGAACUCGACUCUUUACUACACGAGCCAAUUUACAAGUUUUGAAUGCUUUGCCACUCAAUGUGGGGUAUGUGCAGCUCUAUAGACUUGCUUUGAAAUUUCUAGGUGGCUCAAUGUGGGCCAUCUGCAGCUCUAUAGACUUGCUUUGAGACUUCUGGGUGGCUACUCUUCUCUCUUAUCUUUUGUUCUGGCCAA